RNAcentral lists this ribosomal RNA (253 nucleotides) under uncultured bacterium. RNAcentral's name for it is "partial 16S ribosomal RNA". It matches the Rfam family "Bacterial small subunit ribosomal RNA", at positions 524 to 776 of the family's 1533-position model. The record is from RNAcentral.
GACGUAGGGCGCGAGCGUUGUCCGGAUUUAUUGGGCGUAAAGAGCUCGUAGGCGGCUUGUCGCGUCGUCCGUGAAAACCUGCAGCUCAACUGCAGGCUUGCGGUCGAUACGGGCAGGCUGGAGUUCGGUAGGGGAGACUGGAAUUCCUGGUGUAGCGGUGAAAUGCGCAGAUAUCAGGAGGAACACCGGUGGCGAAGGCGGGCCUCUGGGCCGAUACUGACGCUGAGGAGCGAAAGCGUGGGGAGCGAACAGG